GGACGAGCAGCUUCCGGAGUGUCAACAUGAGAAACUUUUGUAAUGAAGAAAGAAAAAAAAAAUCACCAUCACCUCCUAAAUUACCACUGGUUGGCUUGGAGGUUGGGAAUUCAGUGAUUGGCUGGUUUGGUGGGCAAGCUGGACUUUUUUGACUAUGCAAGCUGAAAACUGCACGGUAUCUGAAAGGAAUAGUGUAUCCUGCCAACCUUACCAGCUCCUUUGCUAUUGGACAGGCCUCCUUCACUAAACCCAGACCCCACGUUGUGAUAGGACGGCGCUGAAUGGCAUACGCUGUGAACAGUGCAGAUGCAACAGCACCAAGGAAUCCAGUUGGAUGAGUGUGGGUCAUUCUGCCAGUCUCCAUGGCGACUCUGACUAAAGAGGAGAGCUGCUCCGGUCGAGGGUAUCUGAUGAUAAGAAAUGGUGUUAGCUUAAAUGUUUUUCUGACUAAAAUAUGUCAUUGCAUUGGGAAAUUAUGUUCUUGGUUGUCCAUUGUUAAUGUGAAAGCAGCAUAACACACCAGCAUGGCCUUGUCCUCACCUCAAACCGAUGCACAUGGAUCUCAUGGCAGCGCCACAUCCUGUUCCUUCGGGAUUAUAAGCUAUUCUGUAGCCCCCUUCGGUACCUGGGCAUAACUGAGACACACCUAUGGAGAAACCCAUAGCAAUGUUUUUCGGUGCUCCUACAGCCGCUCUAAAAUAAGGUCUUUAUUCAUUACUCACUUACCUAGGAUGCUCGAUGGUCCCGGUUUCCUCCCCUCCAUGUCUUUCAUACCCUCCACAUAACGAGAUGCCACCUCAUGAAGCAGGUCCUCUCCUUCCUUUCCUAAAAGUAACAAUUAUCUUUAUACACCUUUAGCAGAGUCACCUUCACUCCAUCGAAAUGACUCACUAAUGACUUUCAAAUAGAGAAUUUUGCUUUACAAAAGUAUAAACUAGCACAUUUUAAAAUUAAUCAAACCAUUAUAAAAGUCAAACCUGUGG
Long non-coding RNA from Tachysurus vachellii, 983 nucleotides. RefSeq lists it as uncharacterized. The record is from RefSeq and is a predicted model, not a curated record. The transcript is spliced from 3 exons. Lineage: Eukaryota; Metazoa; Chordata; Actinopteri; Siluriformes; Bagridae.